GUUGAGGGGAAUGCUGUCUGGUUCGAAACCAUUCUGUAAAGUGAUCCGGUCAAUGUUUCAGGGUCGAAUCUUAUACAUGUGUACGAAAACAGAUAUAGAUAAAGUUUGAUAUACGUUCAGAACGCACAACGUCUAAAUUCUGGAUUCUAUGUCGUAGAUCAGAGUUGAUGGUCAUUUGAUCAUGAGUGAUUUCGGACCAGGCUUCAUUCCCCUCAAC
RNAcentral lists this microRNA precursor (217 nucleotides) under Nicotiana attenuata. RNAcentral's name for it is "pre miRNA mir-166". It matches the Rfam family "mir-166 microRNA precursor family". Rfam says of the family: This family represents the plant microRNA (miRNA) precursor mir-166. Animal miRNAs are transcribed as ~70nt precursors and subsequently processed by the Dicer enzyme to give a ~22nt product. Lineage: Eukaryota; Viridiplantae; Streptophyta; Magnoliopsida; Solanales; Solanaceae. The record is from Rfam by way of RNAcentral.